UUCCUCCUUGUUCGAGCCUCUUUCGUUGCAGGGUUCAAUUCUUCUGGUUGAGGAAAUCUUAUUCUUCCUUUUUCUUUAUUGUAGAUUUCCUCUUUUUGGAGUAGUGAAAACCGUGAAUCCUAAGUCUUUGUACUUUGGAUACCUUGAUUUUCCAAACUCCUCAGAUGUCUGGUAAAUCUUUCCAUCGUGUUUUGGUCUGCAGGAUGAUUCUCCUUUCUCAAACUUUUGAAAUUGUUUAUGGCACCUCUCUCUUUUUCUUUUUCUUUCUCAUAUUCUUCAGAAUUUAUAUAUUUCUGGGCCUUUGUUAGCAGGUCUUCCAUGCAUUUUACAUUACUAACGUUUAACUUUAUUGCUAAUGGCGUGUUCAUGUCUAGCCCUUUUGAGUAUGCGCAUAUUGCGAUUGUUGUAUUCAGAUCGGAGAUUUUUUGCAUGGCUUCCGUGAAUUUAGUUGUAUAAUUCCGAAGCGUGUCUCCGUUCUGUUUGAUUGCAAACAGUGAUUCCGUGCCCUUUCUGACCCUUGUGUUUCCACAGUGUUGGGCGACGAAUUUCUUU
This 552-nucleotide long non-coding RNA is filed under the name Zostera marina. RNAcentral's name for it is "long non-coding RNA (ZMAR_LNC002819)". The record is from RNAcentral. Lineage: Eukaryota; Viridiplantae; Streptophyta; Magnoliopsida; Alismatales; Zosteraceae.